RNAcentral lists this transfer RNA (76 nucleotides) under Gammaproteobacteria bacterium AqS3. RNAcentral's name for it is "tRNA-Phe". It matches the Rfam family "tRNA". From Rfam's summary of the family: Transfer RNA (tRNA) molecules are approximately 80 nucleotides in length. Their secondary structure includes four short double-helical elements and three loops (D, anti-codon, and T loops). The record is from RNAcentral. Lineage: Bacteria; Pseudomonadati; Pseudomonadota; Gammaproteobacteria.
GCCUAGGUAGCUCAGUUGGUAGAGCAGAGGACUGAAAAUCCUUGUGUCGGUGGUUCGAUUCCGCCCCUGGGCACCA